Molecule: ribosomal RNA, 253 nt
Filed under: uncultured bacterium
Lineage: Bacteria
Description: partial 16S ribosomal RNA
Rfam family: Bacterial small subunit ribosomal RNA
Source: RNAcentral
UACGUAGGUGGCGAGCGUUAUCCGGAAUUAUUGGGCGUAAAGCGCGCGCAGGCGGUCUUUUAAGUCUGAUGUGAAAGCCCACGGCUCAACCGUGGAUGGCCAUUGGAAACUGGAAGACUUGAAUACAGAAGAGGAAAGUGGAAUUCCACGUGUAGCGGUGAAAUGCGUAGAGAUGUGGAGGAACACCAGUGGCGAAGGCGACUUUCUGGUCUGAUAUUGACGCUGAGGCGCGAAAGCGUGGGGAGCAAACAGG